GCUUUCAUAGCUCAGUAGGUAGAGUACAUCCGUGGUAAGGAUGAGGUCACCGGUUCGAUCCCGGUUGAAAGCUCCA
This 76-nucleotide transfer RNA is filed under the name Paenibacillus sp. CAA11. RNAcentral's name for it is "tRNA-Thr". It matches the Rfam family "tRNA". Rfam says of the family: Transfer RNA (tRNA) molecules are approximately 80 nucleotides in length. Their secondary structure includes four short double-helical elements and three loops (D, anti-codon, and T loops). The record is from RNAcentral. Lineage: Bacteria; Bacillati; Bacillota; Bacilli; Caryophanales; Paenibacillaceae.